Molecule: non-coding RNA, 492 nt
Organism: Melozone crissalis (California towhee)
Lineage: Eukaryota; Metazoa; Chordata; Aves; Passeriformes; Passerellidae
Source: the annotation of a RefSeq genome assembly
CCCGUGGGGCUCUGGGCGGCUGUGACCCUGCUGGAGUGCGGAGGGGACCUCCAGCCCCCCGGGGGGUACCUGUGCCUCUUCUGCCGAGCGUCCGGGUUCAGUUUCGGGAUUGUUGACAUGUUCUGGAUCCGCCAGAGACCCGGGCAGGGGUUGCAAUAUGUCGCAAGGAUCUACGACACUGGAGGUUACACCGACUACGCACCGUCGGUGAAGGGGCGUUUCAGGAUCUCCAGGGACAACGGGCAGAGCUCGGUGACUCUGACCAUGAACAACCUCAAGGACGAGGAUUCCGCCACCUAUUUUUGUGCCAAAUUUUACAGGUCCGGGUUCAGUUUUGGCAGUUCCACCAUGUACUGGAUCCAUCAGAGACCACGACAGGCGCUGGAGUUGCUGGCGGGGAUCACCAGUGGUGGCACCACCGCCUACACGUCGUCUGUCAAGGGCCGGAUCACGAUCUCCAGGGACAACGGCCAAAGGCGCCCCAACGAGUGA